GUAUUCUGUAACCCAUUCAUAGUCAUUUUUGCUCAUCCUCAAAUACUAUGACCAAAUCUCUAUGACCACUGGCUGUCAAGGGGGGGGGGAGUCAACCCACUGACAGCUCUCCGAAACUGCUCAUUGUAAAGUAUGCUUGCCUCUUCUGUCCUCUAAUAAAAUUCAGAUUCAAAAAGUGAUAACAUUUUCUUCAGGAUGUUGCUUAGAAAGCAAUGUCUGUAUGGCAUCAGUAACUCUAUAUUUUGAGAUAGGAGUCUCUCUCUGCUUGAAGACAUACCUAUUUUCUCUAAUUGCCAAAGGCAAAGGGGAGGUGCACUAAAGAAUAAAGAAGGUUAUUGUGACAGAUGAAACAUAAUUCACACUGAAUACUUUUUUCAUCCCGACUAAAGUAGAAGAGGAUUACUCUACGCAGAUUUUAAGAAGAGUGCCUAUGUUCUUACUCCAAUAAGAAGGCCACAAGCUGGAAAGCCACUGCAAAUGUAAACAGGAUUUUGCUGAAGAUUUUGGAUUCUUAUGAACUGGCAGAAAUAUUCACUGGAAGAAAAUCUGAAGACAAAUAGGUCAUAUAAAUUAAUAUCUACUGAAAUUUUCAGAAUGGAUAAUGAUGAAUGUAUUGUAUUUUUUUCUUUUUGUCAGAAUUUUAAUGACAUGAGAUGCUGUUCUGUAAAACAGAUCGAUGGCCAUGCCUCUCCCUCCCUCCCUCUUCCGCUCUGAUUGGCUGAGAGGCAUGCCAACAUGGCUUCUCCUCUCAGAGGGGCUACAGCUUCAUCCGAAGACAUCAGAAACAAACGAAAAAAGAAUAACUCAAGAAAACAAAUCUGUAACACUUUCAACAUAUACAAACAGCUCCUACUAUGUCUAAGAAAUGUUCUACAACUCCUAAACGUGUGAAAUUGCUAUCAAGUGAUUAUCAUCUUUAUUGGCAAUUAGCUACCAAUGCAAAGAAGAAAUAUUAUGGUUGAUGGUGAUGGAAUUCGAAGAGGAAGAAAAAACCCUCGUGAUGAGGGUUCACUGGAGGAGUUGCGCAGGAAGCGACUUAGAGAGCUAUAUGGGGGAUCUUCUGAGGAAGAUUCAGAUGGGGAGAUGGAUGCUGAGGAACAGGUGGUGGCUGGGGAAGCGGGCACUGAAUGGGCACAGCCACCGGAGAUGUCUGGGGAUCUGGGGCUUAUGGAUACUUCUGAACCUGGGGUUUCUGCAGGAGCUGAUCCCAAUUGGGAUGCUUGGAGAAGGGAGGAUGGUUCUUUAAGUGUUCAUGGGGCUAAGUGUGGGCAGGAUGAUUGGGACUCCGACGAAUUGCUAGGUACUCCAGAUCCACGAGCUCUAGCUGUGUGGAGUUCAGACUCUGAGUAGAUUUGGAACACCUGGUGUUUGGGUGUGAGUGUUUGGUCACCCAGGAGGAAGGGGAAUAAAAUGGGAAUGUUUGGCCACUGCACUUUGCGUGUGGCAAGGUGUUGCUGAGGUGCCAUUGGGAUCUCUGUGUUUCCAUGAAGACUGGACUUGGACUAUGAUUUGAAUCUGCUGAUAUCAUCUAGCUUGGCUCUCGCUGUGUCUUAUCGUGGACCUGUUGUGGAUGACUGCACCCUCUUCGGAAUUUGGAUUGAAUUUGACCUGGCUUCUGUCUAUGCCCUCUGACUGACGGCUACUCCCGGCUUCUGACUAUUGGUUUGUCUUUCGGAAUUUCUGUUGCCUCCUGACCUGACCUUGGAUUCUUCUGACGACGGCUAUUCAUCAUCCCUUUGAGGCUCUUGGCUUAUCUGCACCGUGGAAGCAGUUUUACUGCUUUUCUAGUUUGUUUAUUUUCCAGCAAUUAACUCUAUUUGUUUUCCAAAGCUGAAUUGAAGCGUUAUUUAGUUUUUUUAUUGAAUGCCAGCAUGGGAAAUUAGCGUGGCUCGUUUUUGAGUUAUUAUUGUCCAAUCUACUCUCGAAACACUGAAAAGUGAAGUGUUUCAAGGAUAUUUCCUGUGUUUAUGUUAUUUUUUGGCUUAUCUUCGGAAUAAACUUUGUUUUAUAUGUUAA
Anolis carolinensis (green anole) is the source of this 2016-nucleotide long non-coding RNA. RefSeq lists it as uncharacterized. NCBI's taxonomy places the organism in Eukaryota, Metazoa, Chordata, Lepidosauria, Squamata, Anolidae. The record is from RefSeq and is a predicted model, not a curated record. The transcript is spliced from 4 exons.